This is a long non-coding RNA of Esox lucius (northern pike), 1375 nucleotides long. The record is from Ensembl. NCBI's taxonomy places the organism in Eukaryota, Metazoa, Chordata, Actinopteri, Esociformes, Esocidae.
AAAAUGUGUCCAGAUGGAACUUUAAAUUUCAAUAUCUCUGGGAUUUUAGAUGCUAUACCUACAAAGCAAUGCAUUUUUUUGCUGCUGGUACAGUGGACAAAAACAAUAUCACCCUUCAGUGGAAACACUGUGCAAUGUAUUUCUACCCUUUGCAUUAUAAUUGAAAUACAAAAAUUAGAGUCAAGUAGUAUUUGUUUCAGUAUACCCCAUGAAACAAAGCUUUUGGAGGUUCGUUCUUAAGGUAUUUACUAUAAAUCAAUGAAAAGUAAAGAAUCAUUUCUGAAAAGAUUCAACAGACCAGGCUAGAUUGGUCACAAAUUACAGAAAGACAUGAUAUUAGGCUUUAGCCCUGUCUGCUGCAUUACCCUGGGGCCUAACACUGGAGCCUAAGGACUCCCCCACACCAUCCAACAACUGGAGCCAACGGACUCCCCCAAACCAUCCAACAACUGGAGCCAAAUGACUCCCCCACCCCAUCUAACCACUGGAGCCAAAGGACUCUCCCACACCAUCCAACAACUGGAGCCAAAGGACUCCCCCACCCCAUCCUAAAACUGGAGCCAAAGGACUCUCCCACACCAUCCAGCAACUGGAGCCUAAGGACUUCCCCCACACCAUCCAACAACAGGGGCCACAGGUCUCCACAGCACCACCUUAACAGGCCUUCUACUGCACAUAGCAGUGACCAAAACACACUGUGCCUGGACCAGUGUGGAUUUAACCUGAUGACCCCAUGAUGGGACUAGUCAACAUCUGGACAAAAGUGACCAUCCACCUUUUUUUGUUCUAGGAAGAACACAUUUUUUAUAUCAGGGUGAAAAGAAAAUCUCCCAGCAGGACAGCUGAAGAAUCCUAAUGGAACAGUUUUUCUUAUUUUAGAGUUUAAAAUAUUUUAAGGUAUAAGAUUUUGGAUAUAAGUCUCAGUCAGUUCAUACUUUUUUAUACCUUACCCACAAAAUAAUUUGCCAAAUAUCCUGCCAUAAUAAAAUAAUCAUUUAUGACAAUUUAAGUAAGAUAAGUAAGAUAUUGAAUACAUCAGGGGGUAGGCAACCAUGUUCCAGAAGUACUUCAGAACUGCUGAAUUUUGUUCCAACAAAACACAACAAUCUGUUGUGUAGGCUAAAUAAAUAAAUAUGAAUUGCCUGCGGAACUUGGUAUACAGGAUUUAAUUCAGCUUUCAUUCGAGUUGUACAGUAUGCGUUAUGUAAUGGAGCUGUAACGUAUUGCGAGACACUCAAAUGUGAUGAUAUUUGUAUAAUAUGUUUAGCCAAGAAUGCAAAAUAUAUUGAAAGAGUGCUGUUUCAGCAACAACAUCAAUAUCAACAACCAGAUGUAAAACAUUCUCCAUUGUCUAAUAAUUGUCUUAUUACAUGAA